Molecule: long non-coding RNA, 1230 nt
Organism: Photinus pyralis (common eastern firefly)
Lineage: Eukaryota; Metazoa; Arthropoda; Insecta; Coleoptera; Lampyridae
Exons: 3
Source: RefSeq, a predicted model, not a curated record
CAAUGGGUCCUUACCGGGUUUGAGGAUAGGAACGACGACGGACUCUUUCCAUUCACUAGGGUAAGUAUUUUAGACCCAGCACCGAUUAUAUAAGUCUAAGAGAGAUAGCUUUGCAGUUAAUGGAAGAUGUUUUAGAAAUAUGUUAUGGGAUUGUGUCAGACCCUGACGCCUUUGAGUCUGCGCAUCUUAGAGCUUCAUCCAACUCGGUCAUGGAAAGGGGUGAGGGGUUUCAGUGGUAGACCCAUCUCGAGUUAUAAUCCGAGUGAUUGACGCAGUUCUCUUGCCAUUAGCCAGAAGCUUUAUCCUUCUCCAUACCUCAGAUGAAGACGUGCUGGGGCUAAUCGUAGAAGUAUAACGAUUCCAAGAUUCUCUUUUGCAUUCUAGAACUAUUCUACGCGCCUUAGCUCUAGCUAUCUUGAAAGCAACCAAGUUGUCUUCGGUGGGCCUUCGACGGAAAACGUUUAGUGCUCUUUUUUUAACUCUUAUAGCAUCCCUAACCGCAGGACACCACCAGGGAACGUUUCGGGUAAUCGAUCUGCUGCCCACUACAGGAAUAGAGUUUAGGGCCGCAUUUUUUAUGGAAUCCACAUUUUCUCCUCAAAAGAGGCCCAGUGUGCCUUCUCCAGAUUCCAUCUACGGGGAGUGAUAACUGGCGUUCUAUGAGAGUCUGUUCCAAUAGCAAUAGGGAAAUGGUCACUGUUGUGAAGGUCAUCAAGUGGUCUCCACUCCAGACGGGCGGCCAACACUGGUGAGGCGAAAGUCAGAUCAAUCGCGUGGAAAUUACUCGCUCUGGCAUUAAAAUACGUAGAAGCACCUGUGUUUAAUAGAACAAUAUCAUCCCGCUCCAGUAGUUCUUCUAUCUUACGACCUCUACUGUCUCUAGCUUCUGAACCCCAUAUAGGACUGUGUGCACUGAAAUCUCCCACUAGUAGGAGAGGGACAGGGAGUUGAUCCAGUAGAUUUUCAAGAUCUGCAAUUUCCCAAUCGUCUCUCGGUAGGUAUAGACUGCAUAUUGAUGCCAAAACCGGAUGAGACAUUCGUACUGCCACCGCCUGUAGGCGUGUGUUUAGUUGAAUUUCUUUAGAACGAGCUUCAAGUUUAGUUAUAAUGGCGACUCCUCCUGCAGCCCUAACAUGUACGUCGUCGUCCUUCCUUACGAUAUUGUAAUUUCUCAACCCGUAAGGCUGGCCGUGUUUUAAAUGCGUUUCUUGCAGACACACACAUAUUGGA